AAGCCAUGGUCCUCGGAGGCUGGUUCGGGGAGAGGAACCAAGCAGAGGGGGCCAUGUUGUGAUGGAGGGGACAGGGAGCCCACAACUGGCAGCCGGAGGACCUGGGUCCCAGCUCCGAAUGCACCUUCACUCUUUGUCCUGUAAGGGGCCAACCACAUGCCCUCCUGGGCUCUCAAGUUCCUCACCUGUAGAAUGGGGGAUAUACUAAGACCUGCCUCACAGGGGUGUUAUGAGGGUGAAACGAAAUCAUCCUGGCAGUGCUCAGCGUGACAAAUGCUCACUUAAUGGCACAGUAAGGGGCAGUAAGUAAGUAGCAGGCCCAACCUGGACUGUUGUACGGUUUGCGCACUCUACAAGGUGCCAGGCCGAGGUAGUGAAGGGGCCUGACAUCCAGCCACAACCACCGGUGGCAGCAUCCCCCGACAGGGAGCCCUGGGAAGCAACCCCUCAUGGGGGUUCCCCAGCAUGAACUUCCGGGAGUCCAACGGAGCACCCAGGAGUCCUGACAACCCUGGAAAGCAAGACAGAGCCAGAGGCGACCAGAGGCUACGGGGACCCCAGAGAGGGAGAUCCCUGAGCUCAGCCUUCCCUGGAAAGGCGAGAAAAGCCAGACUAGGAAAUCCACGACACGCAUCGAGGCGACACCGCAGCUGAGACGAGGGGGGCCGAAGAAGCCGAAGAGCUGGGGGGUGGGGCGGAGCUCAGCAGGUGUGUGGGCGGGAGCACCCCUGGCUCUUGCCCCUCCUCCUCCGUUCCCCCCCGCUUAAGCGACGUCCGCCGAGCCCGCCUGAGAAUCGCUGGUUGAACACCGCCCCCUGCCGGCCGCAAGCCGCGCCGUCUCCCUUCUCUCUCGAGCGGAGCUGCCACCAAACUGGGAGAGAGGUCCGCCCGCCCGGACGGGGGACAAAAGACACAUCCAGGCUGCGCUACAGGACCUAUCAGAUUAGACGCACAGCAGCCCCUGUGGAUCAUCCUGUUUCCCGCCACCUCACGAGCACUCGAUACCAACUUCUAGAUUUUGCUGCUGCUGAAGCUGUGGCGAUAGGUAUUCGUUUCCUGUUUGGAUUGAUUGUCGGAGAUUUUCCAAUUGGUUGUAUGAUCUCUAGGACUAUAGGAUUGUAGGAUUGGUAGGAUCAUGGAUAGUUAAGGCUUUCGGCGUGCAGACAUUUCUAUUUGAUCACAUUUAUAACCUUGUCUUCUAUGAUUUCUGUAUUUGGGGCCUUGGACAUCCCCGCUUCAAAAGCAGAAAAGAAAGAAAGAAAGGAAAAACUCGAUUGUGGCUGUCGACCAAGAGGAGAGGCUAGAAAGCAACCAAAUGCAUUUAUUUGGGGCCUUCGGGAUUGUAAUCCCCAAGGGACAAGGCAUGGCGUUGACCAAAAUUGGAAGUGUCCUCCCCAAUUUUGAGAGGGGAGUGCAGGCUUAUAAAGGUUCAAAAGCCACAAGGUUACAAAACUUGUUUUAAAAGAAUUGUGAUUGGUGCUACAGAGUUUGAAUUCCCUAACGCGAUGGGCGGCUCAGCUAACAGGCGUUACAUCCUCUUUAUUUCCGUCCAAAUUAGAAGGAUGUGUUCCAGGAGGUGGUCCAGGUAGAACGGACAGGUUGCAAAUGACAAAAAUCAAGAGUUUGUGGUGUUCCAAGAGUUGAAACGGGAGAAGCCAGAGGCCCUGCUUCCUCAGUAUCUUCCCCACCCUAUUGUAAAUGACUCAACAAUGUUCACUUCACUUAGGCAUCUUCUUCCACACUUUUCUUCUUUUCUUUAAGUUUAUUUAUUUCGAGAGAGAGACAGCGGGGGAGGAGCAGAGAGAGAAGGAGAAAGAGAAUCCAAAGGAGGCUCCAAACUAUCCGCGCAAAGCCCAGCACGGGGCUCGAUCAUACGAACCGUGAGAUCACGACCUGAGCCAAAAUCAAGAGUCGGAUGCUUAACCGACUGAGCCACCCAGGCGCCCCUUUCUUCUAAUACUUAUAUUAUUAUUCCUUUAGUUGUGUUGUUGUUUACCUUUAGCUGCAUUUCAUUAGAUACAAGAAAUGAGGUAGAACUCCAAGCUUACAUUUUCCAAACAGCUACCUGGUUAUCUUAAUACCAUUUAUUGAAUAAUCUGUCUUUUUCAUUGUUCAAAGAACAAUUUUAUUUUUUCAUUUGCAAUAUAGUUAUAUAUUAUUUCCUUUCCUUUUUUUUUUGAGUUUCGAGAGUUCUUUAUAUAAUCUAAUACAAGGCCGUUAUCAAAUACGCAGCAUGCAAAUAUUUCCCCCUAGUCUGUGACUUGUCUUUUCUCUUCUCAACAGUGUCUUUUCAGGAGCGCCUGGGUAACUCAGUUGGUUAAGCACCUGACUCUUUUUUUUUCCUUUUUUUGAGAGAGAGAGAGGGGGGGCGCAAGUGAGUGAGGGGCAGAGAGAGAGAGAGAGAGAGAGAAGCGGGUCUCAUCCAAAGGGGGGCUUGAGCUCACUCCAUGUGGGACUCAAACUCACGAACUGAGCUGUGAGGUCAUGACCUGAUCCGAAGUCAGAUGCUUAACCACUCAGCCACCCGGGCACCCCUGACUCUUGAUCUCAGCUCAGGUCUUGAUCUCGGGGUCAUGAGUUCAAGCCCUACGUUAGGCUGAGCGCGGAGCCUCCUUAAAAAAACAAACAAGGGGUGCCUGGGUGGCUCAGUUAGUUAAGCAACCAACUCUUGGUUUCCGCUCGGGUCGUGAUCUUGGUGUUCGUGGGAUCGAACUCUGUGUCCCGCCCCACACUGACAGCACGGAGCCUGCUUGGGAUUCUCUCUCCCACUCCCUCUCUGCCCCACUCCCAUGCUCGCUCACUCUGUCUCUCUCAAAAAUAAAUAAACUUGAAAAAAUUUUAAAACA
RNAcentral lists this long non-coding RNA (2846 nucleotides) under Felis catus (domestic cat). RNAcentral describes it as "lncRNA (ENSFCAG00000052567.1)". The record is from RNAcentral. Lineage: Eukaryota; Metazoa; Chordata; Mammalia; Carnivora; Felidae.